RNAcentral lists this long non-coding RNA (537 nucleotides) under Cyanistes caeruleus (blue tit). RNAcentral's name for it is "lncRNA (ENSCCEG00000014714.1)". The record is from RNAcentral. Lineage: Eukaryota; Metazoa; Chordata; Aves; Passeriformes; Paridae.
CCUUUUUUCUCAUCUUGGAAAUGUUUAUUACUGUAUUUUUUCAGGUCUGAUUAUCUAGAAGAUUUGAAUGCUCUUAAUGCCCUUUGAAAGAAAAGUUUGGAGAAGAUUGCAAUGAUUUUUCUCAUUCCUAUUUCAAAGCGUUCAGCAGUCAGGAUGCUUGCUUGGAGUAAUGGCAAAAAUCCAAAUCUUUUCGGAAUUGAUGGUUUUACAUGAUUAUAGAAUAGAGAUGACUCAUCAUCUUAAAUAUGCCUGUAAGAGAACUUGCCACAACAUUGAUGAGUUUUAGGCGUUCUGAGAACUCCAAGCUUUACCAAAGAAAAGGAAAAUGAAAAAACUGUAUGUGAAUUCAAAAGUAUCAGACAGAUGGAAAGAGCACCGUUGCUUCAUUUCCUGUGUGACAAGAAGGCCAGAUAAUAACUAUGUAAAACUCAUCUUCUGUGAUUGCAACAAAACUGUCUUUUCUACAGAAAAUCUGUAAGAAAAGAAAGGGAAGUAUUCUCUUACUGUUGAGUGCAAUGAAGUACAUCUCAAAUUUAC